This 448-nucleotide unclassified non-coding RNA is filed under the name Hevea brasiliensis (rubber tree). The record is from RNAcentral. Lineage: Eukaryota; Viridiplantae; Streptophyta; Magnoliopsida; Malpighiales; Euphorbiaceae.
AGAAUAUAUUCUCACAAAAAAAAGGGGCUAAACUUCUAAAAACAUAUAAAGAAAAAUCCAAAUUCCUAGAGCACAAAAAUCCCAGAUCUACAGAAGAAUCAUAAAAAGACGAACCAAAAGACAAGAAAUCAGAUCUGAACCAGGGGGAAAAAAUAGCCUAAAGAAGAAAAAAGAGCCGCGACUAAAAAUUCAGUAGCAACUGAAUACCCUAUCUAAAAAAAGUCCAAGAUAAACCCCAGAUUUGCAAAAUCUAGAUGAAGACAAUCAUCAACAAGUUACGAAAUAAAAAUUGGUAAUAAAAUUGGUUCAGAACUAAAAAAUACUGGAAACAACCCAAAGAGUUGAGGCUUUGAAAUCAAAAUCACUGGCAACAGCCAAUUAAAAACUGAACUGAGCUAGGGCAAGUUACAACCAAAAAGAAUAAAACCAAUGAUAAGAUAAAUAACUA